AAAGCAGCAAUUCUGGCAGCAGCUGCAGUUGAAAUAAGAACAAAACCAAGCCAGCCUAAAGAGUGUUUAUUUUCACCAGUUGCUGGACUUUCUUGAAGUUCUCUGCCUUAACUGUGACUAUCACCGUUGGAUAGAGAUCUUCUGUCAUGAUAUCAGUGUGCAUAUUCCUCAUCAUAUCUCUCCUAAAAUUCUAAGUUACGCACACAAUCAAAAUAUCUACAACUAUGGCGAAACCAAGAAACACAAGCAGAUCCACAGUCACUUUAAUCUGGUCUUCUCAUCUGUGCUUUUCGGAGUUACAAGAGACUAGGUGGACAAUCUAAGGGAACUAAAUUAACAUGGAUUCCAGCACAGUGUGCUCAACAACCGGGAUCACUAGAUUGUGGCUACUACGUCAUGCGUUUUAUGUACGACAUAAUAAUGAAUCAUGGUAAUAGUCAAGAUCUUACUAAGGAUUUUUCAAGAACAUUGCCUUAUUCACCGGAGGAGAUUAAUGAGGUGAAAGAUUUUUGGGCAGAUUACUUCAUGAACAAUGUCGAAUUUUUAGCUUAAUUUGUAAUAUGAACUUGAUCUCUAGCUAGCUACGUACCUUUGUUGUAAUAAUUUUAUGUUUGUUGUAACAUGUUGGUUGAUCUAUGACGAAUUUAAUUGCCUUUUAUUGGGAACGUUAAUUACGUUGUAAACUUUUGUGACAGGUAUUAUUUAUAAAUGUAUUCCCGGUAUUGGGAAUGAAGCGUCUA
Long non-coding RNA from Spinacia oleracea (spinach), 740 nucleotides. RefSeq lists it as uncharacterized. NCBI's taxonomy places the organism in Eukaryota, Viridiplantae, Streptophyta, Magnoliopsida, Caryophyllales, Amaranthaceae. The transcript has 5 exons. The record is from RefSeq and is a predicted model, not a curated record.